CCCUGACCUCGGAUCAGAUGUGAAUACCCGCUGAACUUAA
This 40-nucleotide ribosomal RNA is filed under the name Trichobilharzia szidati. RNAcentral describes it as "partial 28S ribosomal RNA". The record is from RNAcentral. Lineage: Eukaryota; Metazoa; Platyhelminthes; Trematoda; Strigeidida; Schistosomatidae.